Molecule: long non-coding RNA, 1510 nt
Organism: Cyprinus carpio carpio
Lineage: Eukaryota; Metazoa; Chordata; Actinopteri; Cypriniformes; Cyprinidae
Source: Ensembl
UUUUCCUCUUGUGUUGGCUGGUUCAUCUUGUGCCAGAGACAGUUACUGACUUGCUGCUUUGUAUUCCAGUCUUGCCCUUUUAUUUGCUGUGAUUGUGUAUCCUUGCUAUAGUUUUUGCUCUUGAUUUCUCAUUUUUGUUUUGUUCUUCAGUUGUCUUGCUUAUAUUUGUAAUGUUUUCUUUAGUUGUUCAUCAGUCUUGUUUCUAGUUUUGUAUUCUUGUUACUGCUUGGAUUUGAUACUGUUAGUCUAAACUCAGAUAUUUCCUUUACUUAUUUGUUUAAAUUGGUGUUGUUUUGUGGUCUUGAGUGGUGUUUUGUUGUGUUCUUGUGUGUUUGUGCUGUGUGUUCCCUCCAGCCUGAUGCUUGUUUCAUACAUACUGUACGCCGUUUGCAGUGCGUAUGCAGUCCAUGUGCUUUACGUAUGUGGUGCAGAAGCAGCACGGACUCAUUUUGCUUUCACACAAACAACAUUUAUCUGUUAUUUUGAUUUCAAAUCCGAAUGUUGUUGCUGAAAAUGCUUUUUCAGCAUUGUGAUCCUCCUGUGACUCUGCGGUGAGUAUAGGAGAACGCUGGAGACUCAGCAGUGAGUAUAGAAGAUCGCUUGAGACAGCGGUGAGUAUAGGAGAUCUCUGGAGACUUAAAGGAGAGUAUAGGAGAUCGCUGGAGACUCAGCGGUGAGUAUAGGAGAUCGCUGGAGACUCAGCGGUGAGUAUAGGAGAUCGCUGGAGACUCAGCGGUGAGUAUAGGAGAACGCUGGAGACUCAGCGGUGAGUAUAGGAGAUCGCUGGAGAUCGCUGGAGACACAACGGUGAGAAUAGGAGAUCGCUGGAGACACAGCGGUGAGUAUAGGAGAUCGCUGGAGACUCAGCGGUGAGUAUAGGAGAUCGCUGGAGACAGCGCGGUGAGUAUAGGAUAUCGCUGGAGACACAGCGGUGAGUAUAGGAGAUCGCUGGAGACACAGCGGUGAGUAUAGAAGAUCUCUGGAGACAGCGGUGUGAGUAUAGAGAUCUCUGGAGACUCAGCGGUGAGUAUAGGAGAUCUCUGGAGACAGCGGUGUGAGUAUAGGAGAUCUCUGGAGACAGCGGUGUGAGUAUAGGAGAUCUCUGGAGACAGCGGUGUGAGUAUAGGAGAUCUCUGGAGACUCAGCGGUGAGUAUAGGAGAUCUCUGGAGACAGCGGUGUGAGUAUAGGAGAUCUCUGGAGACUCAGCGGUGAGUAUAGGAGAUCUCUGGAGAUUCACCAGUGAGUAUAGGAGAUCUCUGGAGACAGCGGUGAGUAUAGGAGAUCUCUGGAGACCGCAGUGAGUAUAGAAGAUCGCUGGAGACUCAAAGGAGAUCGCUGGAGACUCAGAGGUAAGUAUAAGAGAUCACUGGAGACUUAGGCUGCAUUUACACUGCAGGUCUUGAUACCCAAAUCCGAUUUUCUGACUAUAUCCGAUUUUUUUGACGACCUGCUUACAUCAUCUUUUAAAAGUGACCCGUAUCCGAUUUUUGCAUUUACACUAUACACUGC